Phodopus roborovskii (desert hamster) is the source of this 107-nucleotide small nuclear RNA. The record is from RefSeq and is a predicted model, not a curated record. NCBI's taxonomy places the organism in Eukaryota, Metazoa, Chordata, Mammalia, Rodentia, Cricetidae.
GUGCUUACUUCAGUAGCUUCUGUGCUAAAACUGGAAGGCUACAAAGAAGAUUAACAUGGCCCCCGUGCAAGGAUGACACACACAUUCCUGAAGCAGUCCACAUUUUU